AAGGUACAAAUGAUUACAACAUCAUAUAAGUAAGAAGUCUCAUUUAAUAAAUAUUAAGUUUAAAAGAUACAUAUAUAUAUAUUAUCUUUAAAUAAAUAUGUACCAGAUAAAUAUACAUAAAUAUUUUAAUAUCAAAAUUUGUUUUGAACAAUUUUUCUUUUGAUAAAAGCUUUGAAAAGAUAUUGAUAACUUAAUAUUAAAC
This 202-nucleotide long non-coding RNA is filed under the name Brassica rapa (field mustard). Its description in RNAcentral is "long non-coding RNA (BRAP_LNC006909)". Lineage: Eukaryota; Viridiplantae; Streptophyta; Magnoliopsida; Brassicales; Brassicaceae. The record is from RNAcentral.